GAAAUGCGAUAAGUAAUGUGAAUUGCAGAAUUCAGUGAAUCAUCGAAUCUUUGAACGCACCUUGCGCUCCUUGGUAUUCCGAGGAGCAUGCCUGUUUGAGUGUCAUGGAAUUCUCAACUCUAUUUGCUUUUGUGAAUAGAGCUUGGAUUUGGAGGUUUAUUGCUGGUACUUGUGAUCGGCCCCUCUUGAAUGCAUUAGCUCGAACCUUUGCGGAUCAGCUAUCGGUGUGAUAAUUGUCUACGCCGUUGCAGUGAAGCAUAUCAAUGGGCUCGGCUUCCAAUCGUCCUUUACUGGACAAUGACUUUGACCUUUGACCUCAAAUCAGGUAGGAUUACCCGCUGAACUUAAGC
RNAcentral lists this unclassified non-coding RNA (350 nucleotides) under plant metagenome. RNAcentral's name for it is "partial contains 5.8S ribosomal RNA, internal transcribed spacer 2, and large subunit ribosomal RNA". The stretch from base 1 to 105 matches the Rfam family "5.8S ribosomal RNA", at positions 50 to 154 of the family's 154-position model. The record is from RNAcentral.